AUUGAACGCUGGCGGCAGGCCUAACACAUGCAAGUCGAGCGGCAGCACGGGUACUUGUACCUGGUGGCGAGCGGCGGACGGGUGAGUAAUGCCUAGGAAUCUGCCUGGUAGUGGGGGAUAACGUCCGGAAACGGGCGCUAAUACCGCAUACGUCCUACGGGAGAAAGUGGGGGAUCUUCGGACCUCACGCUAUUAGAUGAGCCUAGGUCGGAUUAGCUAGUUGGUGAGGUAAUGGCUCACCAAGGCGACGAUCCGUAACUGGUCUGAGAGGAUGAUCAGGCACACUGGAACUGAGACACGGUCCAGACUCCUACGGGAGGCAGCAGUGGGGAAUAUUGGACAAUGGGCGAAAGCCUGAUCCAGCCAUGCCGCGUGUGUGAAGAAGGUCCUCGGAUUGUAAAGCACUUUAAGUUGGGAGGAAGGGCAGUUACCUAAUACGUGAUUGUUUUGACGUUACCGACAGAAUAAGCACCGGCUAACUCUGUGCCAGCCGCCGCAGUAA
This 502-nucleotide ribosomal RNA is filed under the name uncultured bacterium. RNAcentral describes it as "partial 16S ribosomal RNA". It matches the Rfam family "Bacterial small subunit ribosomal RNA", at positions 30 to 523 of the family's 1533-position model. The record is from RNAcentral.